ACGAACGCUGGCGGCAGGCUUAACACAUGCAAGUCGAACGGGUGUAGCAAUACAUCAGUGGCAGACGGGUGAGUAACACGUGGGAACCUUCCUAGGGGUACGGAACAACUCAGGGAAACUUGAGCUAAUACCGUAUACGUCCGUGAGGAGAAAGAUUUAUCGCCCUUAGACGGGCCCGCGUCGGAUUAGCUAGUUGGUGGGGUAACGGCCUACCAAGGCGACGAUCCGUAGCUGAUCUGAGAGGAUGAUCAGCCACACUGGGACUGAGACACGGCCCAGACUCCUACGGGAGGCAGCAGUGGGGAAUCUUGGACAAUGGGCGCAAGCCUGAUCCAGCCAUGCCGCGUGAGUGAAGAAGGCCUUAGGGUUGUAAAGCUCUUUUACCAGGGACGAUAAUGACGGUACCUGGAGAAUAAGCCCCGGCAAACUUCGU
This 433-nucleotide ribosomal RNA is filed under the name uncultured bacterium. RNAcentral's name for it is "bacterial SSU rRNA". It matches the Rfam family "Bacterial small subunit ribosomal RNA", at positions 29 to 506 of the family's 1533-position model. The record is from RNAcentral.